UAGUCCACGCCGUAAACGAUGGAUACUAGUUGUUGGGAUUUAUCUCAGUGACUAAGCGAAAGUGAUAAGUAUCCCACCUGGGGAGUACGUUCGCAAGAAUGAAACUCAAAGGAAUUGACGGGGGCCCGCACAAGCGGUGGAGCAUGUGGUUUAAUUCGAUGAUACGCGAGGAACCUUACCAGGGCUUGAAUGCAUAACGACAGGCGCAGAGAUGUGCCCUCCUUCGGGCGUUUUGCAAGGUGCUGCAUGGUUGUCGUCAGCUCGUGCCGUGAGGUGUCAGGUUAAGUCCUAUAACGAGCGCAACCCUUGUCCCUAGUUGCCAGCAGGUCAUGCUGGGCACUCUAGGGAGACUGCCGGUGAUAAGCUGGAGGAAGGUGGGGGAUGACGUCAAGUCCUCAUGGGCCCUUAUGUCCAGGGGCUACACACGUACUACAAUGGCCGGUACAGAAGGUUGCAAUACCGCGAGGGUGGGAGCC
RNAcentral lists this ribosomal RNA (476 nucleotides) under uncultured bacterium. Its description in RNAcentral is "bacterial SSU rRNA". It matches the Rfam family "Bacterial small subunit ribosomal RNA", at positions 791 to 1269 of the family's 1533-position model. The record is from RNAcentral.